RNAcentral lists this ribosomal RNA (423 nucleotides) under uncultured bacterium. RNAcentral's name for it is "bacterial SSU rRNA". It matches the Rfam family "Bacterial small subunit ribosomal RNA", at positions 917 to 1338 of the family's 1533-position model. The record is from RNAcentral.
GGACCCGCACAAGUAGUGGAGCAUGUGGUUUAAUUCGAAGAUACGCGCAGAACCUUACCAACACUUGACAUGUUCGUCGCGACUCUAAGAGAUUAGAGUUUUCGGUUCGGCCGGACGAAACACAGGUGCUGCAUGGCUGUCGUCAGCUCGUGUCGUGAGAUGUUGGGUUAAGUCCCGCAACGAGCGCAACCCUCACUUUUAGUUGCCAUCAUUUAGUUGGGCACUCUGAAAGAACUGCCAGUGAUAAGCUGGAGGAAGGUGGGGAUGACGUCAAGUCCUCAUGGCCCUUACGUGUUGGGCUACACACGUGCUACAAUGGUAUCUACAACAGGAAGCAAAACGGCGACGUUAAGCAAAUCCUUAAAAGAUACCCAAGUUCGGAUUGCACUCUGCAACUCGAGUGCAUGAAGCUGGAAUUACUAG